This is an RNA transcript of Capsicum annuum, 1811 nucleotides long. RefSeq lists it as uncharacterized. Lineage: Eukaryota; Viridiplantae; Streptophyta; Magnoliopsida; Solanales; Solanaceae. The record is from RefSeq and is a predicted model, not a curated record. The transcript is spliced from 4 exons.
UAAAGUAUACGGCGAUGCAGGGAAGAGUUUUCCCUCAAAUGCGGUCUAAAUCUCCUGUCAAAUCCUGUAGUUGGUCCUCUCCUCGGAAGAAAUUGACAGAAGGAUUCAAUGGUCAUCAAGAUUCAUCUCAGCACAGGUCUCCAGUUAUGUACAAGGAAGAUAGGGUGAGGACUUCUCCACGAACUUCUUUAACUGAAGAAGCAAUAGCUCCUCAAAGGCGUGACUCUCCAUCAUAUACUGCUCGUCGUCUGAAUUAUAUGAGGGAUGUGGAUGCUUUACAGGAGCAGAGGCAUCCGAGGUCUCUUUCUAGCAGAAGAAGUCCACCUAAUCGGGUAUUUACUAGAAGCAAUAGGAGAGUUGAGAAUUUAGAUCAUCGAGAGAGGGCUGAUGAUGAUGAGUACUUUGAUGGGACGAUACACACUGAUAAUUUAAACCUCGAAUAUAUUGGGAGGUAUGCAUUUGUGCAUGUUUUUGCUUCAAUCUUGUCGCUAGUAGGCCGUCCAAGGAACGUGCUUCUUGUCAACGCUGCCUGCAAUUUGAACUUCCAGAAGAUGAAAAUGAACUAGUUUAUGAUGCUCUACUACGCUGGAUAAAGCAUUUUAUGGUGUGAUAACCAACAAUGCGGUGAAAUUUGCAGUACUUAGGAUCGUCGACUUUGUUUGAUUCUUCAGGUCGCUUUGACUUAGGGAGUUCAAUGACUUGUUUGGCUAGCAGCUCGUCAAGAAUCCCAGGAACAUCAGAGUCAGGAAAAGGAUAUAUAUCCUUGCUUGUAACUCCUUCAAGGGUCAAAAAUAGGUGACGUCAUUCUAUGACUUGCAAUACUUAACUCCAUGUCAAGAGCGCGUAUAGCUAAUUCUUGAAAAGUUUGAGGCUUAAUUUCUUGGAGGAUAUUUACAAGGCCCCAAUGCAUUCCUUGAAUUCAAACUUCAACCGCCGAAGUUUCAGAAAGCUGAUCCUUGCAAUCAAAGCUCAAUGUUCGCCAGCUAUUUAUGUAGUUCACUACAAGCUCAUCUUUACUUUGUCUUGUGUUUUUCAACUCCAUCAUGCUGACCAUACGAUGAAAACGAUUUAAAAACUGACUUGCUAGUUGCUUCCAACAAUCAGUUGAUUUGGGCUCCAAGUCUGUGUACAAAUCAAAAGUGUUUCCUUUCAAAGUGCGAACAAACUGCUUGACAAGAAGAUCACUAUGUGUACCAGCACUGCUACAAGUCUCAACGAAAUGAGCGGGUAAAGUCGGGUGGAUAAGCAGAGUCGUGGUUCGAUUCUCCAGGGGGGAAGGACUCCAACUUGUUCAUCAGUUGAGCGAUAUGAAGAUCUUUUUCCUCGGCAGAUUUCUUUAAAACUUCAAUGGUUUGUUCCAUUACUGCGAACUUCUCAUUCAUAUCAGUUGCGUCGGCCAUCAAGGCAUUGACCUUUGUUGAAACUAGUGAAUCAGUCGAAUCUUCAAAUUCACUAAAAUUGACAUCAGUCUGAGAGAAUUCACCACAUAGCAAGGAUGUCAAAUUUCCCCUAAGAGCUGCAACUUCAGCCGUCAUAUGAGAUUUGCGCUUUUAUGCCUUCUCCAAAGAAGUGAAGUAUUCAAAUUUGUCCAAACCACAAGUCUUAAAUUUGCGCCGAGUGAGGGAACCAACUAGGCUGAGUUCAUCAGAGGUGGCAGUAGCAGAGUUCUUGCAUGAGACAUCGUUAGUAUUUUUGAAGUCCAUAGUAGUAGUUGAAUUUGAUUUGCAGGAAGAAGAUAUGGAGAGCUGAACUUGUCCCACUGGACGUGCCAAAAUAUGUUCGCAAUAAAUUUUCGUAGUAUUGAAAAUCGA